UAGGCGGGUUAUCUAAUAGAAACAGAAGGGAUCUAGGUCACAUUAUAUUGGAUGGUUAGAGGAGUCCUCCCAAAGGAAGGAGAAAUUUGAGCGGGGAUCUGAAUAUGAAGAAAGAGCAGCCAGCUAUGCAAAAAUCCAGGGCCAAGCUUUCCAGACACAAGGAACAGAACGCGCAAAGGCUCGGGGAAAGGGAGUAGGGGGAAGAGCUGGGAGUGGGGGGAAGACCUGGGGGUGGGGGGAGUGUGUUUUGAGAAGCAUAAAAAAGCCUAGGGUGGCUGAAGUCCAGCAGGCAAGGGGAAAUCCUGAAAGAGGAGAUGGCAAAAGUAGCCAGGGGCCUCCUCACAAAGGGUCCAGUAGGCCAAGCCAGGAGUGUCUGCUUGCAUGGACACCAUUGUGGAAACCUUCCUCCGCACCUGUGCCAGGCUCUUGUGGAUGCCAUCAACAAACCCCUCUGACACCUCUGACGGGAGCAUGUGAAUAACACCGAAUAAUCACAACAAAUCCUCCUCAUCAUAAAGCCUUGCGUGGACUGGCACUCGCAAAUAUUUAAAUAAAUAUUAAAACACUGUUGGAAAU
This 576-nucleotide long non-coding RNA is filed under the name Homo sapiens (human). Its description in RNAcentral is "HSALNT0147766". Lineage: Eukaryota; Metazoa; Chordata; Mammalia; Primates; Hominidae. The record is from RNAcentral.